UACGGAGGGUGCGAGCGUUAAUCGGAAUUACUGGGCGUAAAGCGUACGUAGGCGGCUUAUUAAGCAAGAUGUGAAAGCCCCGGGCUCAACCUGGGAAUGGCAUUUUGAACUGGUAGGCUCGAGUUCUGAAGAGGGUGGUAGAAUUUCCUGUGUAGCGGUGAAAUGCGUAGAUAUAGGAAGGAAUACCGGUGGCGAAGGCGGCCACCUGGUCAGAGACUGACGCUGAGGUACGAAAGCGUGGGGAGCAAACAGG
This 253-nucleotide ribosomal RNA is filed under the name uncultured bacterium. RNAcentral's name for it is "partial 16S ribosomal RNA". It matches the Rfam family "Bacterial small subunit ribosomal RNA", at positions 524 to 776 of the family's 1533-position model. The record is from RNAcentral.